Molecule: long non-coding RNA, 3097 nt
Filed under: Marmota monax (woodchuck)
Lineage: Eukaryota; Metazoa; Chordata; Mammalia; Rodentia; Sciuridae
Source: RNAcentral
UGGGACGGAGGUUGUAACUCAGUGGUAGAGCACUCACCUAGCAUGUGUGAGGCACUGGGUUAAAUCCUCAGCACCAUAUAAAUAUAAAUAAAUAAAGAUAUUGUGUCCAUCUACAACUAAAAGAUAUUAAGAAGAAGAAGAAGAAGAAUAGGAGGAGGAGGAGGAGGAAAAGGAAGAGGAGGAGGAAGAAGAAAAAGAGGAGGAAGAGGAGGGCUGGGGUUGUGGCUCAGGGGUAGGGCACUCAGUGCCUAGCAUGUAUGAGGCCCUGGGUUCAAUCUUCAGCACCACAUAAAAAGAUAAAUAAGUAAAAUAAAGGCAUUGUAUCCAACUACAACUAAAAAAUAAAAUAUUUUUUAAAAAGAUAGAGCUGGGGGAUGUGGCUCAAGCGGUAGCGCACUCACCUGGCAUGCAUGCGGCCUGGGUUGGAUCCUCAGCACCACAUACAAACAAAGAUGUUGUGUCCGCCGAAAACUAAAAAAUAAAUAUUAAAUAUGACACCUUUAAAAAAAAAGAUAGAAAGAAAGAAGUGGCAAAUGGGAGCAUCCUUUUCUUCUUCCCAAUUGUACAGGGAAGGAAUGAUAUUAGGGUUUGUUUGUUUUUAGGUUUUUUGUUUUUUGUUUUUUUGUAGAGUCUCUUUAAUCUCUUUUGGUAGAUUGAGGAAGUUCCCUUCUAUUCCUAGUUCAGAGUUAGGUUUUUUUUUUUUUUAAUUAUGAAUGAUAGUUGGAUUUUAUUAAGCACUUUUUUGUGUAUCUAUUGAUGUGAUAAUGUAUUUUUUAUCUUUUAUUAUAGUAUAUUAUAUUGAUGUUUAGAUGUUAAGCAAAUCUUUCUUUUCAGGAUAAAUCCCACUACAUGAUGUAUAAUCCUUCUUAUAUGUUGCUGGAUUUGGUUUAUUAAUAUUUUAUUGAGGAAUUUAAUGUAUACAUUCAUGAGGUAUUUUGAUCUCUAGUUUUCUUCUUUGUGUCUUUAUCUGUAUUUGCAUAAGAUAAUAUUGGCCUCAUAGAAUGAUUUAGGAAAUGUUCUAUUUUCUGCAAGAGUUUGUGUUUAAAAAAAAAAGAUAUUAUUUCUGCAUAUUCUAUUGAAACCAUCUGGGUUUGGGCUUUUCUUUGUGGAAAAGAUUUUUUCCCUGGAGGUUGACCCCUGGGGUACUUUUCCACCAAGCUAUAUCCCCAAUCUUCUUAAUUUUUACUUUGAGAGACAGGGUCUUGCUAAAUUGCUGAGGCUGGUCUCCCACCUGCAAUCCUCUUCGUCCUCCUGAAUACCUGGGAUUACAGGUGUGCACCACUAUACUCAACUUCUUUGUGGGAAGAUUUUUUUUUUUAAGAUUUUUUCUUAGUCAUAGUUGGACACAAUACCUUCAUUUUGUUUGUUUAUUUUUUAUGUGGUGCUGAGGAUCAAACCCAGUGCCUUGCAUGUGCUAGGCAAGCACUCUAUGGCUAAGCUACAACCCCAGCCCUUUGGGAAGAUUUUUAAUUACUAAUUCAAUUUCUUUAUUUGUUUUACAUCCACUCAUGUUUUCUAUUUUUUUAGUCAGUUUUAAUACUUUGUGUCUAAGAAUUUUUCUAUUUCUCUUAAGUUGUCUAAUUAAGACUCUGCUUUAAAUUCUUUUCAGUGUUGACAAAAGUUAAUCAUAGUAUUCCCUCAUAUUCCUUUUCAUUUCUUUAAGAUCUGAGUGUGGUAAUCUGUAUCUCCUCUUUUUUUUAUCUUGGUCAGUCUAAUAAAAGUAUCAAUAAAAAAAUCUUUUGAGGGCUGGGAUUGUGGCUCGGUGGUAGAAUGCUCCCCUAGCAUGUGCAAGGCCCUGGGUUUGAUCCUUAGCAACACAUAAAAAUAAAAAUAAAGAAAUAAAAGGUAUAUAAAAAAAUCUUUUGAACCUAGGGCCUCGCUUAUGCUAAGCAUGUGUUCUACCACUCCACUAUACCUCCGGCCCUCUUUUGCCCUUUCUAAUAUAGACAUCUAUAUUUGGGCAGAUAAUCCCCAGUGCUAUGAAAAUGGUCCCAUUCAGUAGACAUGAUAUGUGUACAUGAAAAAUUCAACACUAUACAAUAAAUUAGGCUUUGUAUUAGAUGAUUUUACCCAAUUGUAGGCUGCUGUAAGUGUUCUGAGCAUGUUUAAGGCAGGCUAUGUUAAAUAUGAUGUUUGAUAGGUUAGUUAUAUUAAAUGCAUUUUUGACUUAUAAUAUUUUCAACUUAUGAUGGCUUAUUAGGACACAAUUCUACUGGAAAUCAAAGAGCAUCUGUCCAUUCUUUGAAAGACCUAAACAACCUCAUUCUACUUGGGAUCUCAUUUUGCUCUAAACUUAACCCCUGACCUACUGAAGUCCUAAAGUCAGGAAAAUACCACAGAAAAGCUCUGUGGAAACAGUUCCCAGAAAAGCCGCAGAUGGUGAUCACCUAAGAUAGGCCAAGACAUUGAAAUAUCUGAAAUUCCAGAAGGCCCCCACCUAGGUGUGGUGACCAAUAUCUAAACUAGAAGCCCUGCAACUUGGCAGGUACCCCCCUUGCGACACCCUCAUGGUUUAAACCAAUCAUUUUUAAGUGCAUUAACCCCUUGAACUAACCAAUAAUUCUUUCCAGAUUCUUUCCUGCCAUUUGAUACGCUAAUCACGUUUUAGAGUUGUUUUAUGAUUUUCCCAUGGUGUGUGAUGAUUUGCUAAGAGAUGCUAUGAUGUAUGUGAAGUCCCUGCCUUCCCCAAAGAGUGUAUAAAACUACUGCAAACCCUGGGCUCAGGGCCUCUCAGCGUCACCAGUUGCUAGGUGCACAUGGAGGACGGAGCUAGUUCGAAAUAAACACCUCUUUGUUGCUUACAUCGAUCUGGGUCUCUGGUGGUCUUUUGGGGUCUUGAAUUCGAGCAUAAUAUCUUCUCGAAUCACUGCUUUGGACUGCCUUACAUACAUCUUGAUGUGUCAUGUGUGCAAAUAUCUCUUUAAGACUCUGCUUUAAAUUCUUUUCAGUAUAUAACCAGAAGCAGAAUUUCUGGACCAUAUAAUAAUUCUAAUUUUAACUUUUUGAGGAAACACCAUACUGUUUUCCACAAAUGUAUGUAACACUGCAUUUCCACUAAGAGUUUACAAGGCUUCUAAUUUCUCUGCAUCCUUCCCCA